UUGGAGGGCAAGUCUGGUGCCAGCAGCCGCGGUAAUUCCAGCUCCAAUAGCGUAUAUUAAAGUUGUUGCAGUUAAAAAGCUCGUAGUUGAAUUUCGGGGUUAGUAGAUUGGUCAUGCCUCUGGUAUGUACUGGUCUCACUGAUUCCUCCUUCCUGAUGAUCCGUAAUGCCAUUAAUUUGGUGUUGCGGGGAAUUUGGACUGUUACUUUGAAAGAAUUAGAGUGUUUAAAGCAAGCUAACGCUUGAAUACAUUAGCAUGGAAUAAUGAAAUAGGACGUUCGAUCCUAUUUUGUUGGUUUCUAGGAUUGACGUAAUGAUUAAUAGGGAUAGUUGGGGGCAUUAGUAUUCAAUUGUCAGAGGUGAAAUUCUUGGAUUUAUUGAAGACUAACUACUGCGAAAGCAUUAGCCAAGGAUGUUUUCAUUAAUCAAGAACGAAAGUUAGGGGAUCGAAGACGAUCAGAUACCGUCGUAGUCUUAACCAUAAACUAUGCCGACUAGGGAUCGGAUGAUGUUAAUUUUUUAAUGACUCAUUCGGCGCCUUACGGGAAACCAAAGUGUUUGGGUUC
Molecule: ribosomal RNA, 565 nt
Filed under: uncultured Glomeromycotina
Lineage: Eukaryota; Fungi; Glomeromycota
Description: SSU rRNA
Rfam family: Eukaryotic small subunit ribosomal RNA
Source: RNAcentral